Long non-coding RNA from Etheostoma spectabile (orangethroat darter), 997 nucleotides. RefSeq lists it as uncharacterized. The record is from RefSeq and is a predicted model, not a curated record. NCBI's taxonomy places the organism in Eukaryota, Metazoa, Chordata, Actinopteri, Perciformes, Percidae. The transcript has 3 exons.
UGUAUCACGACAGUGGAUCACUUGUUACUGGGUUAAAUCGCCGUGGUAACUUAUGCUGAACACCUAACUUGAUCGGAAGCAGGUUAUGUUGGAGAUUAGAGAUCAACCGGUGUUAAAGCACCGCCUACUGACCAAUCAAUACUCGGUUGAUAACGGCGUCACCGUUGUCAGGAGAUCCGGUGGAGCUCGGUGCGCUAAGAGAGAGAGAGGUGAGCUCGUUAAGGCUUAACUAAUCAGAGAGCGGUAACCCAAUAAACAUUCCCUGAUGGGUAAUUUUAUGAAAGAUAUAGAUUUUAAGCGGAGGGUAUUACUUAUAAGCUAUCUGUCGGCUUCUUGAGCAGUGUGUUGCCAAUGGGCACAUCGGUUUGAAUUACGUUUUUAUAUUUUUUAUUUUCUCUCACAAUGGCUUACCACUGCCAGGGUUGCAACUGAAAUAAUUGGCUAGAGCAACGAUGUAAUUAUUAUGGUCAGAUCUUGUGCCUGACCGAUGGAGAAGUGAUAUCGAUAAGUGCUAUUUUGCCUUUUGUCAGCUUUCCUUCCUGUUUCAGAAAGCAGUGACUGUAUUACAUUUUGCCUAUAAAACCCUGUCUGUGUAGAAUUAUAGUUUUGCUCUUCUUAUGUAAAAUAUGCGGCUCUGGUAAAUGUCUGCAAUUGGUCGUGCUGUGCAAACACUGCCUCUUUUAUGUGAACAUGCGCAUCGCUGGAUUGGGGAACUCUGGGUUGAUUGAACUAGUUGUUAACCACCGAUGAGACACAGGUUUUGAUGGGCCGCGGUUGUUAGGGUUGCUGAAGCCGGGUAACUGAAAGAAAUCCCGGGCAUGUUGAUCUUGAUUCGUAGUACAGGCCUCUGGUGUGAAACCAAACCAAGCACACACAGGGGAGGUGAGAAUGCUGUGUGGACUAGUCAGACCCUCCUCCACAGCGCCGUGGAGGAAGGUCUGACAAUGCAAGACUAGAUAUUGUCAAUCUGUGCUUUCCAAUCUCUUCCUUCCAAGUG